RNAcentral lists this unclassified non-coding RNA (246 nucleotides) under Hevea brasiliensis (rubber tree). Lineage: Eukaryota; Viridiplantae; Streptophyta; Magnoliopsida; Malpighiales; Euphorbiaceae. The record is from RNAcentral.
AGCAAAAGGCUUUACUCAGAGGGAAGGAAUUGACUUUAAUGAAGUGUUUUCCCCAGUUGUGAAGCAAAAUUCUAUCAAGGUCUUACUUGCUAUGGUUCCUCUUAAUGAUCUAGAGCUUGAGCAACUAAAUGUAAAGAUAACAUUUUUGCAUGGUAAGCUAGAAGAGAAAAUUUAUAUGAGUCAUCCUGAAGGAUUUGUCGUUCCAGGUAUAGAAAACCAUGUUUGUUUGCUUAAGAAGUCUUUAUA